This 506-nucleotide ribosomal RNA is filed under the name uncultured bacterium. Its description in RNAcentral is "partial 16S ribosomal RNA". It matches the Rfam family "Bacterial small subunit ribosomal RNA", at positions 28 to 523 of the family's 1533-position model. The record is from RNAcentral.
GAUGAACGCUAGCUACAGGCUUAACACAUGCAAGUCGAGGGGUAACGAGAGGAAAGCUUGCUUUCCUUGUCGACGACCGGCGCACGGGUGAGUAACGCGUAUCCAACCUGCCCCCAACUAGGGAAUAACCUUGCGAAAGUAAGACUAAUACCCUAUAAUUUCCUAAGAUGUCAUCUGACGAGGAAUAAAGAUUUAUCGGUUGUGGAUGGGGAUGCGUCUGAUUAGCUUGUUGGCGGGGUAACGGCCCACCAAGGCAACGAUCAGUAGGGGUUUUGAGAGGAAGGUCCCCCACAUUGGAACUGAGACACGCUCCAAACUCCUACGGGAGGCAGCAUUGAGGAAUAUUGGUCAAUGGGCGGAAGCCUGAACCAGCCAAGUAGCGUGCAGGAUGACGGCCCUAUGGGUUGUAAACUGCUUUUAUACAGGAAUAAAGUUAGCCACGUGUGGUUAUUUGUAGGUACUGUAUGAAUAAGGACCGGCUAAUUCCGUGCCAGCAGCCGCCGUAA